RNAcentral lists this long non-coding RNA (302 nucleotides) under Lathyrus oleraceus (garden pea). RNAcentral's name for it is "Pisum sativum (pea) long non-coding RNA (PSAT_LNC038002)". The record is from RNAcentral. Lineage: Eukaryota; Viridiplantae; Streptophyta; Magnoliopsida; Fabales; Fabaceae.
UUUUUCUUUGUUUUUUUUAUAAUGCCCCAGUUGGUUGUUCUGCUGAUUCUCGAGAUGCAGCUGAGUGAUCUUCUUUUCUUGCUCAAGAAGUCGGGAAAUCUCGUCAGGAAUCCCUUCAACAUCAUCUUCUUCCGCUUUGAAUACAGGGAAUUCAAAAUUGGGAGAUGACGUUGGAUCAUUAUGUUCAAUGGGUUUAAGAAUCAAUCUGCAUAAUGAUUUGAUAUGAAAAGCUCUUUGGAAAUCAAACAAGACAAUCGUUAUGCAGAUGAAAAGAUUGCUUUUAUUCUUGUUUUUAGGGUUUU